This 3361-nucleotide long non-coding RNA is filed under the name Salmo salar (Atlantic salmon). RNAcentral describes it as "lncRNA (ENSSSAG00000113744.1)". The record is from RNAcentral. Lineage: Eukaryota; Metazoa; Chordata; Actinopteri; Salmoniformes; Salmonidae.
GUAGUAGUAGUGCCAAUAGCAGUAGUAGUACCGAUAGUAGUGGUGGUGGAGGUAGUGGCAGUACCAAUAGUAGUAGUACCAAUAGUAGAAGUAGUAGUACCACCAAUAGUAGUAGUACUGGUGGUGGUAGUAGUAGUAGUAGUACCAAUAGUAGUAGUAAUAGUAGUACCAAUAGUAGUGGUGGUGGUGGUAGUAGUACCAAUACCAGUAGUAGUAGUGGUAGUGCAGUAGUAGUAGUAGUAGUAGUAGUAGUACCACUACUAGCAGUAGUAGCAGUAGUAGUAGUGGUGGUGGUAGUAGUAGUACCAAUAGUAGUAGUAGUGGUAGUAGUUGUGGUAGUGGUAGUUGUAGUGGUAGUGGUGGUGGUGGUGGUUGUAGUAGUAGUAGUAGUGGUAGUUGUGGUGGUAGUUGUAGUGGGGGUGGUGGUGGAAGUAGUUGUAGUGGUGGUGGUAGUGGUGGUGUUUGUAGUAGUGGUAGUAGUAGUGGUGGUAGUUGUAGUAGUGGUAGUUGUAGUAGUGGUGGUGGUGGUGGUGGUGGUGGUGGUAGUUGUAGUGGUGGUAGUGGUGGUGUUUGUAGUAGUGGUGGUAGUAGUGGUGGUGUUAGUAGUGGUAGUUGUAGUAGUGGUAGUAGUAGUAGUAGUAGCGGUGGUAGUAGUGGUAGUUGUAGUUGUAGUAGUAGUGGUAGUGGUAGUUGUAGUAGUGGUAGUUGUAGUAGUAGUGGUGGUGGAGGUGGUAGUUGUGGUAGUAGUAGUAGUGGUAGUUGUGGUAGUAGUAGUAGUGGUAGUUGUGGUAGUUGUAGUAGUGGUGGUGGUAGUUGUAGUAGUGGUGGUGGUAGUUGUAGUAGUAGAGUGGUAGUUGUAGUAGUAGUGGUGGUGGUAGUAGUGGAAGUAGUAGUAGUGGUAGUUGUAGUGGUGGUGUUAAAAGUUGUAGUAGUGGUGGUAGUGGUAGUAGUGGUAGUUGUAGUAGUGGUGGUGUUAAAAGUUGUAGUAGUGGUGGUAGUGGUAGUAGUGGUAGUUGUUGUAGUGGUGGUGGUGGUGGUGGUAGUUGUAGUAGUAGUGGUAGUUGUAGUGGUUGUGGUAGUAGUAGUGGUGGUGGUUGUAGUGGUAGGUGUAGUGGUGGUGGUGGUGGUGGUAGUUGUAGUAGUAGUUCCACUAGUAGUAGUAGUAGUAGUAGUAGUAGUAGCAGUACCAAUAGUAGUAGUAGUAGUGGUGGUGGUAGUUGUAGUAGUGGUGGUGGUAGUUGUAGUAGUAGAGUGGUAGUUGUAGUAGUAGUGGUGGUGGUAGUAGUGGAAGUAGUAGUAGUGGUAGUUGUAGUGGUGGUGUUAAAAGUUGUAGUAGUGGUGGUAGUAGUGGUAGUUGUUGUAGUAGUGGUGGUGUUAAAAGUUGUGGUGGUAGUGGUAGUAGUGGUAGUUGUUGUAGUGGUGGUGGUGGUGGUGGUAGUUGUAGUAGUAGUGGUAGUUGUAGUGGUUGUGGUAGUAGUAGUGGUGGUGGUUGUAGUGGUAGGUGUAGUGGUGGUGGUGGUGGUGGUGGUGGUAGUUGUAGUAGUAGUUCCACUAGUAGUAGUAGUAGUAGUAGUAGUAGUAGUAGUAGUAGCAGUACCAAUAGUAGUAGUAGUGGUGGUGGUAAUGGUAGUUGUAGUAGUGGUGGUGGAGGUGGUAGUUGUAGUAGUGGUAGUUGUAGUAGUAGUGGGGGUGGUGGUAGUUGCAGUGGUGGUGGUAGUUGUGGUGGUGGUAGUAGUAGUAGUAGUGGUGGUGGUAGUUGUAGUGGUGGUGGAGGUGGUAGUUGUAGUAGUAGUGGUGGUGGUGGUAGUUGUGGAGGUGGUAGUUGUAGUAGUAGUGGUGGUGGUAGUUGUGGUAGUUGUAGUAGUUGUAGUAGUAGUAGUAGUAGUAGUAGCAGUACCAAUAGUAGUAGUAGUGGUGGUGGUAAUGGUAGUUGUAGUAGUAGUGGUGGUAGUAGUAGUGGUGGUGGAGGUGGUAGUUGUAGUAGUGGUAGUUGUAGUAGUAGUGGGGGUGGUGGUAGUUGCAGUGGUGGUGGUAGUUGUGGUGGUGGUAGUAGUAGUAGUAGUGGUGGUGGUAGUUGUAGUGGUGGUGGAGGUGGUAGUUGUAGUAGUAGUGGUGGUGGUGGUAGUUGUGGAGGUGGUAGUUGUAGUAGUAGUGGUGGUGGUAGUUGUGGUAGUUGUAGUAGUUGUAGUAGUAGUAGUAGUAGUAGUAGCAGUACCAAUAGUAGUAGUAGUGGUGGUGGUGGUAGUAGUUGUAGUAGUAGUAGUGGCGGUGGUGGUGUUAGUUGUAGUGGUGGUGGAGGUGGUGGUAGUUGUAGUGGUAGUAGUAGUAGCAGUAACAAUGGUAGUACCACUAGUAGUAGUAGUAGUAGUAGUAGUAGCAGUACCAAUAGUAGUAGUGGUGGUGGUGGUGGUAGUUGUAGUGGUGGUGGAGGUGGUGGUUGUAGUAGUAGUAGUGGUGGUGGAGGUGGUGGUUGUAGUAGUAGUGGUGGUGGUAGUUGUAGUAGUAGUGGUGGUGGUGGUAGUUGUAGUAGUAGUGGUGGUGGUGGUAGUUGUAGUGGUAGUAGUAGUAGCAGUAACAAUGGUAGUACCACUAGUAGUAGUAGUAGUAGUAGUAGUAGCAGUACCAAUAGUAGUAGUGGUGGUGGUGGUGGUAGUUGUAGUGGUAGUAGUAGUAGCAGUACCAAUAGUAGUACCACUAGUAGUAGUAGUAGUAGUAGUAGUAGUAGUAGUAGCAGUACCAAUAGUAGUAGUAGUGGUGGUGGUGGUAGUUGUAGUGGUGGUGGUAGUUGUAGUAGUACCACUAGUAGUAGUAGUAGUAGCAGUACCAAUAGUAGUGGUGGUGGUAGUAGUAGCAGUACCAAUAGUAGUGGUGGUAGUAGUCGUAGUGGUGGUGGUAGUACCAGUAGUAGUAGUAGUGGUGUUGGUAAUAGUAGUAGUAGUAGUAGUAGUAGUGGUGUUGGUAGUAAUAGUUGCAGUAGUAGUGUCAUUGACCAUGUGAUGGUUUACUAAUAGUUUUUCCCAGUGUCCACAGAAGUGUGGAGGUUGGACAUCUGUUUCCUCUUCUUUCCUCACCCUCUUCCUGCUUUCCUCUCAUCUCUCCAUCGCGGGGCCAGAAUGAGCUAAUAAUGAGCCAUGAUGAGUGUUCCUCAACAGACCGAAGGGAACUUAACAAGAAGAGAGGAAGAAGUGCAGGUCUUCAGGUUGUAAUGUGAAUAGCAGGACAGACUGCUCAUUAAAGCAGCUCACUGCAUCGUCACAAACACACAGGGGCUUUUAUGAGAACAGAACAGAGGAAGGCCACCCUAGUCAUAGACUGUUCUCUCUGCUACCGCACGGAAAGCGGUACCGGAGUGCCAAGACUA